RNAcentral lists this non-coding RNA (107 nucleotides) under unclassified sequences. Its description in RNAcentral is "cow-rumen-2 RNA". It matches the Rfam family "cow-rumen-2 RNA". Rfam says of the family: cow rumen metagenome. The record is from Rfam by way of RNAcentral.
GAAGGAAAGACACCUAGCCCGUGUUUUGCAUGCCGCUAUAAGCAUGUAAGUUAGUCAAGCCCGAGUACAGGAUAGCCGCUCGGUCAAACUUACAGUAAGUCUUCUUA